GCACCCGCACAAGCAGUGGAGCAUGCUGUUUAAUUCGAAGAUACGCGAAGAACCUUACCAGGGCUUGACAUCCCACUGACCGCUCUAGAAAUAGAGUUUUUCCUUCGGGGACAGUGGUGACAGGUGGUGCAUGGUUGUCGUCAGCUCGUGUCGUGAGAUGUUCGGUUAAGUCCGAUAACGAGCGCAACCCUUCUCUCUAAUUGCUAACAUUCAGUUGAGAACCUUAGAGAUACUGCCGGUGACAAACCGGAGGAAGGUGGGGAUGACGUCAAAUCAUCAUGCCCCUUACGUCCUGGGCUACAGGCGUGCUAUAAUGGCAGAUAUAAUAAGUCGCAAUACCGUGAGGUGGAGCUAAUCUCCAAAGUCUGUCUCAGUUCGGAUUGAAGUCUGCAACUCGACUUCAUGAAGCUAGAAUUGCUAGUAAUCGUGGAUCAGAAUGCCACGGUGAAUACGUUCCCGGGUGUU
Molecule: ribosomal RNA, 465 nt
Filed under: uncultured bacterium
Lineage: Bacteria
Description: bacterial SSU rRNA
Rfam family: Bacterial small subunit ribosomal RNA
Source: RNAcentral